UGUUUCUUGAUUGUUUUAUAAGAAAUAAGGUCUGCCCUAUGAUUUAUAUUAAAUGGCCGCAGUAUAUUGACUGUGCAAAGGUAGCAUAAUCGUUUGUCUCUUAAUUGGGGUCUAGAAUGAAUGACUUAAUGAAAGAAAUACUGUCUUUUAAGUAAUAUUUGAAUUUUUAGGUUAGGUGAAGAUACUUAAAUGCUUUUAAAAGACGAGAAGACCCCGUCAAGUUUUAUGAUAAAUAUUAAUUUUAGGUAUAAUUGGUUAAUAGAUUCAUUUGGUUGGGGCAAUUAUUAAAUAGUAAAAACUUUAUUGAUUUUAUAUGUUUAUGAGCAGAUAUUUUCUAUGAUCCAAGGUUUUGAUUGAAAGAAUAAAUUACUGCGGGGAUAACAGCGUAAUUCCUCUUUAGAGUUCUUAUCGAUGGAGGAGAUUGCGACCUCGAUGUUGGAUUAAGAUACUUAUUUGGCGCAGGUGUUUAAUAAGGUAGUCUGUUCGACUAUUAAAUUCUUACA
RNAcentral lists this ribosomal RNA (503 nucleotides) under Lithobius viriatus. RNAcentral describes it as "partial large subunit ribosomal RNA". It matches the Rfam family "Bacterial large subunit ribosomal RNA", at positions 1824 to 2600 of the family's 2925-position model. Lineage: Eukaryota; Metazoa; Arthropoda; Chilopoda; Lithobiomorpha; Lithobiidae. The record is from RNAcentral.